GAUGAACGCUGGCGGCGUGCCUAAUACAUGCAAGUCGAGCGAACGGACGAGAAGCUUGCUUCUCUGAUGUUAGCGGCGGACGGGUGAGUAACACGUGGAUAACCUACCUAUAAGACUGGGAUAACUUCGGGAAACCGGAGCUAAUACCGGAUAAUAUUUUGAACCGCAUGGUUCAAAAGUGAAAGACGGUCUUGCUGUCACUUAUAGAUGGAUCCGCGCUGCAUUAGCUAGUUGUAAGGUAACGGCUUACCAAGGCAACGAUGCAUAGCCGACCUGAGAGGGUGAUCGGCCACACUGGAACUGAGACACGGUCCAGACUCCUACGGGAGGCAGCAGUAGGGAAUCUUCCGCAAUGAGCGAAAGCCUGACGGAGCAACGCCGCGUGAGUGAUGAAGGUCUUCGGAUCGUAAAACUCUGUUAUUAGGGAAGAACAUAUGUGUAAGUAACUGUGCACAUCUUGACGGUACCUAAUCAGAAAGCCACGGCUAACUACGUG
Molecule: ribosomal RNA, 496 nt
Filed under: uncultured bacterium
Lineage: Bacteria
Description: partial 16S ribosomal RNA
Rfam family: Bacterial small subunit ribosomal RNA
Source: RNAcentral